GCCUGCGUAGCUCACCGGAAUAGAGCGUCGCCCUGCGAAGGCGAAGGUAGCGCGUUCAACUCGCGCCGCAGGUA
RNAcentral lists this transfer RNA (74 nucleotides) under Armatimonadota bacterium. RNAcentral's name for it is "Armatimonadetes bacterium tRNA-Arg". It matches the Rfam family "tRNA". From Rfam's summary of the family: Transfer RNA (tRNA) molecules are approximately 80 nucleotides in length. Their secondary structure includes four short double-helical elements and three loops (D, anti-codon, and T loops). Further hydrogen bonds mediate the characteristic L-shaped molecular structure. tRNAs have two regions of fundamental functional importance: the anti-codon, which is responsible for specific mRNA codon recognition, and the 3' end, to which the tRNAs corresponding amino acid is attached (by aminoacyl-tRNA synthetases). tRNAs cope with the degeneracy of the genetic code in two manners: having more than one tRNA (with a specific anti-codon) for a particular amino acid; and 'wobble' base-pairing, i.e. permitting non-standard base-pairing at the 3rd anti-codon position. The record is from RNAcentral. Lineage: Bacteria; Bacillati; Armatimonadota.